This 69-nucleotide transfer RNA is filed under the name Marmota monax (woodchuck). Its description in RNAcentral is "tRNA.Ala". The stretch from base 6 to 62 matches the Rfam family "tRNA", at positions 8 to 63 of the family's 71-position model. Rfam says of the family: Transfer RNA (tRNA) molecules are approximately 80 nucleotides in length. Their secondary structure includes four short double-helical elements and three loops (D, anti-codon, and T loops). The record is from RNAcentral. Lineage: Eukaryota; Metazoa; Chordata; Mammalia; Rodentia; Sciuridae.
GGUUGUGGCUCAGUGGUAGAGCGCUUGCCUCGCAUGCCUGAGGCACUGGGUUCCAUCCCCAGAAGCACA